GACGAACGCUGGCGGCGUGCUUAACACAUGCAAGUCGAACGGAAAGGCCCUGCUUUUGUGGGGUGCUCGAGUGGCGAACGGGUGAGUAACACGUGAGUAACCUGCCCUUGACUUUGGGGUAACUUCAGGAAACUGGGGCUAAUACCGGAUAGGAGCUCCUGCUGCAUGGUGGGGGUUGGAAAGUUUCGGCGGUUGGGGAUGGACUCGCGGCUUAUCAGCUUGUUGGUGGGGUAGUGGCUUACCAAGGCUUUGACGGGUAGCCGGCCUGAGAGGGUGACCGGCCACAUUGGGACUGAGAUACGGCCCAGACUCCUACGGGAGGCAGCAGUGGGGAAUAUUGCACAAUGGGCGGAAGCCUGAUGCAGCAACGCCGCGUGCGGGAUAACGGCCUUCGGGUUGUAAACCGCUUUCGCCUGUGACGAAGCGUGAGUGACGGUAAUGGGUAAAGAAGCACCGGCUAACUACGUG
This 468-nucleotide ribosomal RNA is filed under the name uncultured bacterium. RNAcentral's name for it is "partial 16S ribosomal RNA". It matches the Rfam family "Bacterial small subunit ribosomal RNA", at positions 28 to 507 of the family's 1533-position model. The record is from RNAcentral.